UACGUAGGGUGCAAGCGUUAAUCGGAAUUACUGGGCGUAAAGCGCACGUAGGCGGGUCGUUAAGUCAGGGGUGAAAUCCCGGAGCUCAACUCCGGAACUGCCUUUGAUACUGGCGACCUUGAGGCUGGAAGAGGUUAGUGGAAUUCCCAGUGUAGAGGUGAAAUUCGUAGAUAUUGGGAAGAACACCAGUGGCGAAGGCGGCUAACUGGUCCAGAUCUGACGCUGAGGUGCGAAAGCGUGGGGAGCAAACAGG
RNAcentral lists this ribosomal RNA (253 nucleotides) under uncultured bacterium. Its description in RNAcentral is "partial 16S ribosomal RNA". It matches the Rfam family "Bacterial small subunit ribosomal RNA", at positions 524 to 776 of the family's 1533-position model. The record is from RNAcentral.